This is a long non-coding RNA of Temnothorax curvispinosus, 433 nucleotides long. RefSeq lists it as uncharacterized. The record is from RefSeq and is a predicted model, not a curated record. The transcript is spliced from 3 exons. NCBI's taxonomy places the organism in Eukaryota, Metazoa, Arthropoda, Insecta, Hymenoptera, Formicidae.
ACGGAAAAAUUUAUGCACGGUCGUUUUAUCGACGAUGUGAAACGACCGUGCAUAAGCAGUUAGCAGUUGCCCGCUGCCGUUGCCGCGUUCGCGAGAGAAACAUACGGACGUUAAUGAAGUUUCGCGGUGAUCCCUUUCCCGCUGCCCCUCGUUACGAAAAACGAGACUGUGAUUCACACACGGAGAUCAGCAUAACAAACCUGUAUGUGUGUGCCCGGCCGUGACCACGUGUGAGCUUCUAAGAAAUAUCGAUCCUCGGCGAAUUUGCCCUCGGCGCGGUGAACAACAAAGAGCACGAUGGUAUCUGUACUUCGAAACAAGCGGCGUUUUUGCCAACAUCAAUGUCACGCGGCAGCCUGCACAGUUGACACUUGCAGUUUGUCAAGCGGUCUGUGACGGAUGGUAAAUUGUUUAAUGGCGUCUAAGAGGCACA